This 1563-nucleotide ribosomal RNA is filed under the name Triticum aestivum (bread wheat). RNAcentral describes it as "partial small subunit ribosomal RNA". The record is from RNAcentral. Lineage: Eukaryota; Viridiplantae; Streptophyta; Magnoliopsida; Poales; Poaceae.
AUGAAUACCUAUAUAGACAAAUGGAAUAUACUCUUAAUUAGAAGCGUAUGGUAUGGAGGCUGGCUCCGUACGGAUCCCGGCAAUCAACGCUAUGGGAUCACCAACUUCACCGACGCCACCAUUGAUGGCAACAUCAAGGUGCUGCUCCAAGAGACAGCCAAACAGGCAGCCUACAACUCUACAAUGAUGUACGCCACCGGCCGCAUGGAUUUAUCCGAGGAACUCCCGCUGCUCUACUCUAUGGCGCAGUGCAACCUGGACCUACAAUCAAUUGACUGCUGGAAUUGCCUCGAAAAUAUCAGGAGCGCAGCAAGGGGUUCCUUCCACAAGCAACAUGGUGAAUGGAUUGCUGGUAUGUGGUGCAAUUUUAGGUACAGCACGUAUCAGUUCUACAAUGGCCAGCCCACGAAGCAGACCGUCUGGUCGGAUGUAUGGAUCAUUACCACUGCUAUGCUUCUACUAGCAUCAUUUUUGUGCUUCAUCGUAUGGUUUAAACUAGUCAAAAGGAACAUUAAAGUGAGCUCUCAGGAAGAUGAAGAGCUAGUCUGGGGGAUAGGGAGGAGUUCAGAGCUCAAGCUUUUUAACUUUUCACAACUAUCAGAUGCUACGAGUAACUUCUCAGAUGAAAAUAAAUUGGGGCAAGGUGGCUUUGGACCAGUAUACAAGGGCCAGCUUCCUGAAGGUUUGGAAAUAGCAAUUAAGGGACUAGCUUCGCAGUCUGGGCAGGGUUUCACAGAGUUUAAAAAUGAAGUCCAACUCAUAGCCAAGCUCCAGCACACAAAUUUGGUUAGGCUAUUGGGAUGUUGCUCUCAAGGAGAAGAGAAAGUAUUAAUCUAUGAAUAUUUGGCAAAUAAAAGCUUGGAUUUCUUUAUCUUUGGCAUUACUCCUUAUGAAACUAAAAAGGCUUUAUUGGAAUGGAACAAAAGAAAAGCGAUUAUCGAAGGGAUAGCACAAGGACUUCUAUAUUUGCAUAAGCACUCUCGGUUACGUGUCAUACAUAGGGAUCUUAAAGCUAGCAACAUACUUUUGGACAGUGAAAUGAAUCCUAAAAUAUCAGAUUUUGGGCUUGCAAAAAUAUUCAGCUCAAAUGAUACUGAAGGGAACACAAAAAGGAUUGCUGGGACAUAUGGGUAUAUGGCUCCCGAGUAUGCUUCAGAGGGUCUCUUCUCAAUCAAAUCUGAUGUAUUCAGCUUUGGUGUACUGAUUCUUGAGAUCAUCCAUGGAAAAAGGAACUCAUGUUUCCAUCAAUUUGGGGACUUCUUCAACCGUCUUGGAUAUGCAUGGAAGUUGUGGAAAGAGGAAAGAUGCCUCGAGUUCGUCGAUGAAUCAAUAGUUUCAGAGUCUGACACAUUAGAUACGAUGAGGUGUAUCAACAUCGCACUGCUCUGUGUGCAAGAGAAUGCAGUUGACAGGCCCAGCACAACAAGUGUGGUUGCGAUGCUAAGCAGUGAAAGUAUGACCCUGCCCGAACCUAAGCACCCAGCGUAUUUCCACAUAAGGGUAACAGAGGAAGAGCCCCCUAGUGCGAAUGAUGUGACAGUGUCUGCUCUACAAGGCAGGUAG